This 66-nucleotide transfer RNA is filed under the name Argestina pomena. Its description in RNAcentral is "tRNA-Phe". Lineage: Eukaryota; Metazoa; Arthropoda; Insecta; Lepidoptera; Nymphalidae. The record is from RNAcentral.
AUUUAAAUAGCUUAUAAUAGAGUAUGAUAUUGAAGAUAUCAGGGAGAUUAAUAAAAUCUUUAAAUA